AUAAUGGGUCAGCGACUUAUAUUCUGUAGCAAGGUUAACCGAAUAGGGGAGCCGAAGGGAAACCGAGUCUUAACUGGGCGUUAAGUUGCAGGGUAUAGACCCGAAACCCGGUGAUCUAGCCAUGGGCAGGUUGAAGGUUGGGUAACACUAACUGGAGGACCGAACCGACUAAUGUUGAAAAAUUAGCGGAUGACUUGUGGCUGGGGGUGAAAGGCCAAUCAAACCGGGAGAUAGCUGGUUCUCCCCGAAAGCUAUUUAGGUAGCGCCUCGUGAAUUCAUCUCCGGGGGUAGAGCACUGUUUCGGCAAGGGGGUCAUCCCGACUUACCAACCCGAUGCAAACUGCGAAUACCGGAGAAUGUUAUCACGGGAGACACACGGCGGGUGCUAACGUCCGUCGUGAAGAGGGAAACAACCCAGACCGCCAGCUAAGGUCCCAAAGUCAUGGUUAAGUGGGAAACGAUGUGGGAAGGCCCAGACAGCCAGGAUGUUGGCUUAGAAGCAGCCAUCAUUUAAAGAAAGCGUAAUAGCUCACUGGUCGAGUCGGCCUGCGCGGAAGAUGUAACGGGGCUAAACCAUGCACCGAAGCUGCGGCAGCGACGCUGAUGCGUUGUUGGGUAGGGGAGCGUUCUGUAAGCCUGCGAAGGUGU
RNAcentral lists this ribosomal RNA (648 nucleotides) under Escherichia coli. RNAcentral's name for it is "partial 23S ribosomal RNA". It matches the Rfam family "Bacterial large subunit ribosomal RNA", at positions 612 to 1259 of the family's 2925-position model. The record is from RNAcentral. Lineage: Bacteria; Pseudomonadati; Pseudomonadota; Gammaproteobacteria; Enterobacterales; Enterobacteriaceae.